Molecule: ribosomal RNA, 513 nt
Filed under: uncultured bacterium
Lineage: Bacteria
Description: bacterial SSU rRNA
Rfam family: Bacterial small subunit ribosomal RNA
Source: RNAcentral
GAUCAUGGCUCAGAACGAACGCUGGCGGCGCGUUUAAGCAUGCAAGUCGAGCGGCAAGGGCCUUCGGGCCCCUAGAGCGGCGGACGGGUGAGUAACACGUGGACAAUCUGCCCCCCGGCCCGGGAUAGCCCAGGGAAACCUGGAUUAAUACCGGAUGAGACGGGACCCGCGAUGGCGGGAUCCGGGAAAGGCGCUGCGGCGCCGCCGGGGGAUGAGUCUGCGUCCCAUUAGCUAGACGGCGGGGUAACGGCCCACCGUGGCGACGAUGGGUAGCCGGCCUGAGAGGGUGGACGGCCACAUUGGAACUGAGACACGGUCCAGACUCCUACGGGAGGCAGCAGCUAAGAAUCUUCCGCAAUGGGCGAAAGCCUGACGGAGCGACGCCCGCGUGAACGAAGAAGGCCGUGAGGUUGUAAAGUUCUUUUCGGGAGGGGGAACAACCGUGGCAGGGAAUGGCCGCGGGAUGACGUGAAUCCCGGAAUAAGCCCCGGCUAACUACGUGCCAGCAGCCGC